Molecule: ribosomal RNA, 465 nt
Filed under: uncultured bacterium
Lineage: Bacteria
Description: partial 16S ribosomal RNA
Rfam family: Bacterial small subunit ribosomal RNA
Source: RNAcentral
GACGAACGCUGGCGGCGUGCUUAACACAUGCAAGUCGAACGGAAAGGCCCUGCUUGCCGGGUACUCGAGUGGCGAACGGGUGAGUAACACGUGGGUGAUCUGCCCUGCACUUCGGGAUAAGCCUGGGAAACUGGGUCUAAUACCGGAUAGGAGCCAUUUUUAGUGUGAUGGUUGGAAAGUUUUUUCGGUGUAGGAUGAGCUCGCGGCCUAUCAGCUUGUUGGUGGGGUAAUGGCCUACCAAGGCGGCGACGGGUAGCCGGCCUGAGAGGGUGGACGGCCACAGUGGGACUGAGAUACGGCCCAGACUCCUACGGGAGGCAGCAGUGGGGAAUAUUGCACAAUGGGCGCAAGCCUGAUGCAGCGACGCCGCGUGGGGGAUGACGGCCUUCGGGUUGUAAACUCCUUUCGCUAGGGACGAAGCUUUUUGUGACGGUACCUAGAUAAGAAGCACCGGCUAACUACGUG